This 253-nucleotide ribosomal RNA is filed under the name uncultured bacterium. RNAcentral's name for it is "partial 16S ribosomal RNA". It matches the Rfam family "Bacterial small subunit ribosomal RNA", at positions 524 to 776 of the family's 1533-position model. The record is from RNAcentral.
UACGAAGGGGGCUAGCGUUGCUCGGAAUCACUGGGCGUAAAGCGCACGUAGGCGGGUUCUUAAGUCGGAGGUGAAAUCCUGGAGCUCAACUCCAGAACUGCCUUCGAUACUGGAAAUCUCGAGUCCGGGAGAGGUGAGUGGAACUGCGAGUGUAGAGGUGAAAUUCGUAGAUAUUCGCAAGAACACCAGUGGCGAAGGCGGCUCACUGGCCCGAUACUGACGCUGAGGCACGAAAGCGUGGGGAGCAAACAGG